UGCUUUCUUUUUCCUACAACCCUCUCAAUACUUUCUUUCAAAACUUCACAACUGUCGUAGAUGACCAAGUACAGCGGCUGUGGUGGUUCGAUCAUGUUCAUCACUAACAAUUUACGAGAUUACCGGUGGGGCGGUAAUCCGUUAUGGCGGACAAGGGGAUGGUGAGACGAUUCACAACGCCGACGGGCGGCGAUUAGGGCCCUACAAGUAGAAUAUGGCUGCUAACAAGUCAAAUGGAGUAGUUGACCUCCGCCGAUAUACAAGGUUGCUCAGAUCAGUAGAAUCAAAGGUUAAUCGGCAAACAACUUCCUGACAAUCAGGAUUCUGUGCGCCGUUAGCUGAGGCGGUGGUGGUGCACGUGUCAGCGGUGUAUAUGGUGGCGGUGGUGAACAUGGUUGUUGUUUUCUUCUACCUGUGAAAUGCAGGGUGCUUCAUGGGUUGAAUAGAGAACUUUGCAAUGAUAUUAGUAGCAAGCUUAUAAGAUUUAUGCAUAAGUAGACAUAAAAUACUAAACUUUUGUGUUAAAUGCUCUUCUAUUUAUCUUAUAGUUAUGUUGCAGAAUAGGAUAAUCCAGUUGGGACAGGAUACAGUUUUGUGGAGGAUGAAGAGUUAUUGGUGAAAAUAGAUGAAGAAGCUGCUAGGGACUUAACUACAUUGUUGAUUAAAUUAUUUAACAGAUAUGUCGUACUGCAGGUUUAGUACGUCCUAUGACAAAUACUCACAUCAUCACAUGACCAGAGAGAUCUGGGACAACGUCGACACCAACGAUUAGUUUCAAGAAAGGGAAAAUUAAAGGAGAAGCAGAAGAUAGAUUUUUUUAUCUGAACCCAAAUAAAGAUAAAGUGAAGCGGAAGAACUGAAUCGGCGAUGCAGAGAUAUGCAGUCAUUAACCUUUGAGGAAAGAAAGGUCAACCCGCUCCACCUCCAGGUACACAUGCAUAAAGGCCAGACCAAAAAACAAUUAGCCAAUUACAAAUCUCCUCGGAUGCAAGUGAUGACCUGUCAACAAAAGGAAAACUUUUUUCAUGAAAGAAUUUCACACGCCUAUGUUUGUAUUGUAAGUCGUAGGAUAACGGAUGUAAGUGGUUUACAAAAUGGUGUUAUAGUUCAUUUUGAACCCAGUUUUCUACACAUUGUUCAUGAUACAUGAAACAACACCAAAAAUCAAUUAAACUUUAAAAUUGCAACUCCCUAUCCCAGUUUUUCAAAGAUGGAAGACAUUUUGACUUGGAAUAAUACGUUUUGAUUCGAGGGUAUUUAAUUCGAGUUACUUUGUGUUUUAGCCAGCCGCAAUGACGGAGGGACUGGUACGUUUUCUUUACCUUUUAUUUGGUUCAACUUUCGAUAUAAAUUUUGCUCAAGAACCACAUAUCUACGUUUCGAGUUAGUAUAGUUUUUAACAUAGAUUUUUUUGGGCUAAAAUAGAAUAUAAAUAAUUGGACGGUAUAAAUUCCAGUUACUCUAUUUCGACGUAAAUUUAGUUCGGAAAGAGUUAGGUACGCCGCCGCAACGCGCGGCGGGUACAAAUACUAGUUGAGGCUUGAAAAGGAUGGCCAGCCAAAAGAAUAAUAAAUAGCUUUUCUUUCAAUAUUGCCUAAUUUUUUUAUAUAACUGUUAAAUUAUUUAUUAAAACUUAAACGUGAGGAGGCAUAUAUUCGACACUUGCCCGAAAACGAAAAAGCACGAGAUUUGCGAAAUGUGGGGUUGGGAGAUGACACCCAUUUAAUUUAAGUUUUUUUCCAAUGUUUAGUUGUUUUUUAUUUUGCUAUGUAAUAUAUUUUUUAAUUUUAAUGAAAUUUAAUUUAGUGUUUUAUUGUUAAUUUCUAAUUUAAAAAAUAAAAAAAAAGUUGUGAGUGAUUGAAUUCCAUCACUAGUGAUGACCACCGCCACUAAAAAAGACUUGUGAGUGAUAGAAUUUGAUUGGAUGUUUGUGAGUGAUAGAAUUUGUGAGUGAUAGAAUUUCAUCAUUUGUGACCACCCCCACUCCCCUAACACCCUAAAUAUAGUUAAUAUUUACUUUUGCGAUAAAUAGUUUGUAUUUAAUUGGUUUGUAUCAAAACAACGAGUCUAUUAACGAAAUAAAACAAAACUUCAUAUACCAUGUGUUGUGAAAUAAUGAUUCUGUGACAUGACUCCCCGACGUUUCCGCCAUCAGGGUGUUACACCUUCACCUUCAAUCUCAUCGUCGUCUUCCCUCACCAUCGCCUCGGUAACCAGCCUUGACAACACCAACAUUGGUAACCAAGCGGAUUCUCUUUGAUUGACUGCAUGUUGGCUUUUGCGGCUUCCCAAUGUCUCUUAUUGCUGCACCAGUCCACCACCAUGGCGUAAGCUUUCCUCUUUCACUCACACUCUUUAUAAUGUGUAAAAACCCUCAUGAAUUUUCUCCUUUUAUUUUGAUUUAUCCAUUUGUUCACUUUGCUUCUCGUGGGUAUGUAUAAGCGUAGGUAGAGCACUUCUGAUGUUGGUGUAUCUUACUAUGGAUGUACGUUUACUCUAAGAAUAGAAAAGGGUUUUUUAUU
This 2522-nucleotide long non-coding RNA is filed under the name Helianthus annuus (common sunflower). Its description in RNAcentral is "hypothetical non coding rna". Lineage: Eukaryota; Viridiplantae; Streptophyta; Magnoliopsida; Asterales; Asteraceae. The record is from RNAcentral.